Ribosomal RNA from Lupinus angustifolius (narrow-leaved blue lupine), 156 nucleotides. It matches the Rfam family "5.8S ribosomal RNA". Rfam says of the family: 5.8S ribosomal RNA (5.8S rRNA) is a component of the large subunit of the eukaryotic ribosome. It is transcribed by RNA polymerase I as part of the 45S precursor that also contains 18S and 28S rRNA. The record is from Rfam. NCBI's taxonomy places the organism in Eukaryota, Viridiplantae, Streptophyta, Magnoliopsida, Fabales, Fabaceae.
GACUCUAGGCAACGGAUAUCUCAGCUCUUGCAUCAAUGAAGAACGUAGAGAAAUGCGAUACUUAGUGUGAAUUGCAUAAUCCCGUGAACCAUCGAGUCUUUGAACACAAGUUGAACCUGAAGCCAUUAGGUCGAGGGCACGCCUGUCUAGGUGUUG